CUACGCUCAGAGCAGCUGCAGAACAACAGCGAGCAGGGCUGGGGGACGUCGCUCCUCCUCUCCCUCCCUCCCUCUCGCCUUCUGGGAGACGAUGAGGAUGCGGCGGUACCCACCUGGCUCCAUCUCCGUGCUGGGCUCCACAGGACUGGGAUGCCCCAGAGAUGCCACUGGGGUAAAGCAGAAAGGCAAGGAGGUGCUAGGACGCUAGAUGGACCUGACCGUACC
Alosa alosa (allis shad) is the source of this 225-nucleotide long non-coding RNA. RefSeq lists it as uncharacterized. The record is from RefSeq and is a predicted model, not a curated record. The transcript is spliced from 3 exons. Lineage: Eukaryota; Metazoa; Chordata; Actinopteri; Clupeiformes; Clupeidae.